CCUACGGGCGGCAGCAGUGAGGAAUAUUGGUCAAUGGGAGAGAGCCUGAACCAGCCAAGCCGCGUGAGGGAAGACGGCCCUAUGGGUUGUAAACCUCUUUUGUCGGAGAACAAAACCCGGGACGUGUCCCGGACUGCGUGUAUCCGAAGAAAAAGCAUCGGCUAACUCCGUGCCAGCAGCCGCGGUAAUACGGAGGAUGCGAGCGGUAUCCGGAUUUAUUGGGUUUAAGGGGUGCGUAGGCGGUCCGUUAAGUCAGCGGUAAAAUUGCGGGGCUCAACCCCGGCGAGCCGUUGAAACUGGCAGUCUUGAGUUGGCGAGAAGUACGCGGAAUGCGCGGUGUAGCGGUGAAAUGCAUAGAUAUCGCGCAGAACUCCGAUUGCGAAGGCAGCGUACCGGCGCCCGACUGACGCUGAGGCACGAAAGCGUGGGGAUCGAACAGGAUUAGAUACCCCGGUAGUC
Molecule: ribosomal RNA, 459 nt
Filed under: uncultured bacterium
Lineage: Bacteria
Description: partial 16S ribosomal RNA
Rfam family: Bacterial small subunit ribosomal RNA
Source: RNAcentral